This 538-nucleotide long non-coding RNA is filed under the name Brassica napus (rape). RNAcentral's name for it is "long non-coding RNA (BNAP_LNC020915)". Lineage: Eukaryota; Viridiplantae; Streptophyta; Magnoliopsida; Brassicales; Brassicaceae. The record is from RNAcentral.
UUUUUUUUAAUAAACUACUUCUUUUAUUUCAUAUGUAACCGAAACCAUGCCCAACGGACUUACAAACAACUUAUAAACUACUAAAAGACUUACCAGAAAAAUGAUGGACAACCUAACUGGUACUGACCCUGCUAAAAAAGAGAAAACCAGGUGCUAAGAGGGGUUAAUGAUGAAGCUAAGGACGAAUUCAAGCGAGUUGAUCUUGAAAGGGGAUCAAGUCUAUGUCUGAUAGUGUCUUUGAUUUCGGUAAUGAGAGUGUCUGAUGUUCUCUGGACAGAGGAAUGAAGUCGAGCGUUACGUUCUCUCCAGAUAGCGUACAUUGACGCUUGAUAGAGGAGUCGAAAUAUCAGAGUGACGUGAGGGUCUGAAGAGGGUUUGGCCAUCCACAUCACGAUCGCGUCAAAGGUAUUAGGGGCCUGGAGGUUCGCUCGAGUAAGAAAAUGGUUCCAUAGAGUGGAGCUAUACAUGUAGUUGAAGAACAGAUGCUCCCGAGAUUCUUCAUGGGUAGAGCAAAGCACACACGAUGCAGGAACGUCAA